GCUCCAAUAGCGUAUAUUUAAGUUGUUGCAGUUAAAAAGCUCGUAGUUGGAUUUCGGGUGGGUUCUAGCGGUCCGCCUCUGGUGUGUACUGCUAUGGCUCACCUUUCUGUCGGGGACUAGCUCUUGGGCUUCACUGUCCGGGACUAGGAAUCGGCGAGGUCACCGUGAGUAACUCGUAGUGUUCAAAGCAAGCAUUCGCU
This 200-nucleotide ribosomal RNA is filed under the name uncultured eukaryote. Its description in RNAcentral is "partial 18S ribosomal RNA". It matches the Rfam family "Eukaryotic small subunit ribosomal RNA", at positions 588 to 795 of the family's 1831-position model. The record is from RNAcentral.